UGUCUUAAGCAUGCAAGUCGAACGGUAAGGGAGGAGCUUGCUUCUAACCUAGAGUGGCGGACUGGUGAGUAACGCGUGGAUGAUCUACCUUUAAGACGGGGAUAGCUCCUAGAAAUAGGAGGUAAUACCGAAUACGCUGUAUGUUGUCAGAGGACAUAUCAGGAAAGGAGCUUUCGAUUCGGCAAGAGAGUGGCCCGCGUCCCAUUAGCUAGUUGGUGAGGUAACGGCCUACCAAGGCGACGAUAGUUACCCGGCCUAAGAGGGUGAUCGGACACAUUGGGACUGAGAUACGGCCCAAACCCCUACGGGAGGCAGCAGCUAAGAAUAUUCCGCAAUGGACGGAAGUCUGACGGAGCGACGCCGCGUGAAUGAUGAAGGCUGGAAGGUUGUAAAAUCCUUUUAUCAGUGAAGAAUAAGUUCUCUGAGGGAAACGGAGGAUGGUGACGGUAGGUCAUGAAUAAGCCACGGCUAAUUACGUGCCAGCAGCCGCGGUAACACGUAAGUUGCGA
Molecule: ribosomal RNA, 509 nt
Filed under: uncultured eubacterium WJGRT-210
Lineage: Bacteria
Description: bacterial SSU rRNA
Rfam family: Bacterial small subunit ribosomal RNA
Source: RNAcentral